GUUUAUUUUUGAGAGAGAGAGAGAGAGGCAGAGGUAGGGACAGAAUCCGAAGCAGGCUCCUGGCUCUGAGCUGUCAGCACAGAUCCCGACGCGGGGCUCCAACUCACGAACCGUGAGAUCAUGACCUAAGCCGAAGUUGGACACUUAACCGACUGAGCCACCCAGGUGCCCCUAGACUACGUAGAUAUUUUCAUCAAUUAACCUGAGGCGUUCUUCCUAAGCGGGCACUAUCUAAUUACCUGCUUGGUUCCUUCUGUUUGAGACAGUGCCAAACGAUUGCUUCCUCCUUGCAAGGUCGCCUUUUCUGACUGGUGUUCAUUAAUUCAUCGAGCAAAUUACGGAACAGGCCCUACGUGAUGAGUCUUUGCUAAAGGACUGAUGGAGCAGUGAAGAUGUGAAGCCUCGUGAAUUAUUGGAGCUCCUUUGUGUCAGUCAGUGGUUUGGGACCAGUGACAUUCAGGGAUGUGGCCGUAGCCUUCUCUCAGCAGAAGUGGGAGAGUCUGAAUUCUGCUCACAGGGACUUAUACAGAGAUGUGAUGUUGGAGAACUGUAGUAACUUGGUCUCACUGGCACCCUGUUUCAUUUGGAGGUUCCACCGAGAUUCUAUGACCACCCAAGAUUCGGAGGCUGAAGCGGAACAGCUAGGGAAGAGCUCUGAGAGACGUUCCUCGGCCCCGGCCUUCCGUUCUCAGACCUGGCUUAAAAGUAAGGUAUGCGAGGUGGCGCCUGUUUUCUGUUACUGGCCAGAUCUGAUUCUAGGAGGGAAGGCUGGACGCGGCUUAACUUCCCCCUAGCUGGUGUCUGGUGGAGACGUCCCCAGCACCCUCUGGGUCCCCGGACCAUCCGGGUCUUCGGACUGUCUGGGUUGGGCUUGAUCACCCCAACCAUUUGCUCUACGUUCAGUGCUCUGUGUGCCCUGUUAAACGCUUCCUGUUAACCUAUCAUUAUCUCUGGCAUGACCCACUGUUUAACCUCCGUCAUGGGUCAGUCUUUGUCCGAGCCUUGCUCCCCCUUAAAUGCAUGCUAAAUAACUUCUCUGGUUUCAGAAAAAGAGGAAGGACCUAUGGCUGUAACCUAAAGCCAUCCUGGCUGCGGACAUAUUGCCAACUGGACUGGCUGACAUUCUCUGGGGUUGACUGGCCCCCAGAGGGCUCCUAGAAUCUUAACCUUGCUUAUGCUGUCCGCAGGAUUUGUCACGAUGUUCAUCCCCACCAGGAGCCAUAUGCUGUGACUUGGGUCGACCUCCUAGAAGACCCACCUUCCUGGCUGAGAGAGUGCCAGAAACAGGGCCAAAAGCUGUCAUCCGGCAUCUCCCUUUCCCACUCCCCUUCCUGUUCUCCUCCAAACUCCAAACCCUUGCUUCCUGUCACUUAGCCUCCAAAGAGGCUUUACCCGGUGCUUCAGGAGAUACCCAAGGGAGGGACUUGUUAUCCGAUCCUUAGAGACCAGCUCCUUAUCCCCAGACUCCACUAGCUCCCCAGGAACCAAAAGCCGCAGGUGACCCUUUGACUAGUCCCCCACACACCAGAUCAGGAGCCCUCUGUAGAGGAGAACACCAGUCCUCUGAUGCCCCAGUUCCCAUCCUUCCUCUUAGGCAAAUGGCUCCGGCCCCUGGUCCAGAUGGGCAGCCAACACACCGGAAGCUUGUCUACACUCCUUUCUCCACCACGGACCUCUAUAACUGGAAAACUCAGAACCCGCCUUUCUCUGAAAACCCCCAGGGCCUAAUUGACUUAUUGAGCUCUAUUUUCACCACUCACUUACCUACUUGGGAAGAUUGUCACCAACUCUUGCAGGUCUUACUGACUUCCGAGGAAAGGGCCCAAGUGCUCCGGGAAGCAACGAGAGCAGUCCUUGGCCCGGAUGGAAUGCCUACCACAGACCUUCGCAGAACUGAGCAUGUUUUCCCUUCCGCACCGCCCCAGCGGGACCCUAACACGGAUAAUGGAUGAGAAAGAUCCAGUCUGCAAACCACACAUGCCAGAGAAUUUGGGGGAGAUUACCAUCACCUGCAGAUGGAACCAAACGAUGAGAAAACUUGUGACACGUUCCAAGUGCUGAAAGGGGAAAGUGAGAUUUUCAGUCGAAGGAUGAGACAGCAAUAAAGAAAUGCCCACCCUUGAGAAAUAUACAUCUUUUGCUUUACAUCCGAGAAUUCUUAAUGGAGAGCAAUCAUAUGAAUAUCAGGAAUGUGGGAAGACUUUUUGUCAGUACUCAAACCCUGUUCAACGUGAGAGAACACAUUCUAGUGAAAAACCCUACAAAUACAAAGAAUGUGGGAAGAACUUUAGUGAUAGACAUCGGCUCACUGUACAUCAGAGAUUUCAUACUGCAUUUCCUACGGUGUCCAGUACACCAGUGUUGAAUAGAGCCGAUGAAAAUGGACAUCCUUGGCUUUUGUCCAAUCUUGAGGGAAG
This is a long non-coding RNA of Panthera uncia (snow leopard), 2417 nucleotides long. RefSeq lists it as uncharacterized. Lineage: Eukaryota; Metazoa; Chordata; Mammalia; Carnivora; Felidae. The transcript has 7 exons. The record is from RefSeq and is a predicted model, not a curated record.